This 464-nucleotide ribosomal RNA is filed under the name uncultured bacterium. RNAcentral describes it as "bacterial SSU rRNA". It matches the Rfam family "Bacterial small subunit ribosomal RNA", at positions 28 to 507 of the family's 1533-position model. The record is from RNAcentral.
GACGAACGCUGGCGGCGUGCUUAACACAUGCAAGUCGAACGAUGAAGCCAGCUUGCUGGUGGAUUAGUGGCGAACGGGUGAGUAACACGUGGGUGAUCUGCCCCAAACUUUGGGAUAAGCCUGGGAAACUGGGUCUAAUACCGAAUAUGACCACGGAAUGCAUGUUUUGUGGUGGAAAGCUCCGGCGGUUUGGGAUGGGCCCGCGGCCUAUCAGCUUGUUGGUGGGGUAAUGGCCUACCAAGGCGACGACGGGUAGCCGGCCUGAGAGGGCGACCGGCCACACUGGGACUGAGACACGGCCCAGACUCCUACGGGAGGCAGCAGUGGGGAAUAUUGCACAAUGGGCGCAAGCCUGAUGCAGCGACGCCGCGUGAGGGAUGACGGCCUUCGGGUUGUAAACCUCUUUCACCAGGGACGAAGCGAAAGUGACGGUACCUGGAGAAGAAGCACCGGCCAACUACGUG